Molecule: ribosomal RNA, 508 nt
Filed under: uncultured bacterium
Lineage: Bacteria
Description: partial 16S ribosomal RNA
Rfam family: Bacterial small subunit ribosomal RNA
Source: RNAcentral
GAUGAACGCUAGCUACAGGCUUAACACAUGCAAGUCGAGGGGAAACGAUAGAGAAAGCUUGCUUUUUCUAGGCGUCGACCGACGCACGGGUGAGUAACGCGUAUCCAACCUGCCCACCACUUGGGGAUAACCUUGCGAAAGUAAGACUAAUACCCAAUGAUAUCUCAAGAAGACAUCUGAAUGAGAUUAAAGAUUUAUCGGUGAUGGAUGGGGAUGCGUCUGAUUAGCUUGUUGGCGUGGUAACGGCCCACCAAGGCGACGAUCAGUAGGGGUUCUGAGAGGAAGGUCCCCCACAUUGGAACUGGGACACGGUCCAAACUCCUACGGGAGGCUGCAGUGAGGAAUAUUGGUCAAUGGGCGAGAGCCUGAACCAGCCAAGUAGCGUGCAGGAUGACGGCCCUAUGGGUUGUAAACUGCUUUUAUAAGGGAAUAAAGUGAGUCUCGUGAGACUUUUUGCAUGUACCUUAUGAAUAAGGACCGGCUAAUUCCGUGCCAGCCGCCGCGGUAA